AUACAGAGGGUGCAAGCGUUAAUCGGAUUUACUGGGCGUAAAGCGCGCGUAGGUGGCUAAUUAAGUCAAAUGUGAAAUCCCCGAGCUUAACUUGGGAAUUGCAUUCGAUACUGGUUAGCUAGAGUAUGGGAGAGGAUGGUAGAAUUCAAGGUGUAGCGGUGAAAUGCGUAGAGAUCUGGAGGAAUACCGAUGGCGAAGGCAGCCAUCUGGCCUAAUACUGACACUGAGGUGCGAAAGCAUGGGGAGCAAACAGGAUUAGAUACCCUGGUAGUCCAUGCCGUAAACGAUGUCUACUAGCCGUUGGGGCCCUUGAGGCUUUAGUGGCGCAGCUAACGCGAUAAGUAGACCGCCUGGGGAGUACGGUCGCAAGACUAAAACUCAAAUGAAUUGACGGGG
This 396-nucleotide ribosomal RNA is filed under the name uncultured bacterium. RNAcentral describes it as "partial 16S ribosomal RNA". It matches the Rfam family "Bacterial small subunit ribosomal RNA", at positions 523 to 918 of the family's 1533-position model. The record is from RNAcentral.